CAAGUACUGUAAAUUAAGCAAUUAGAGAUCAAACUGAUUACAGCAGUGAGAACCAAACUUAUCCAACACAUAUACACUGUAAAGUAAUUAAAUACAAAAGCUACUUACAAGCUUAUCAUAAACUGAAAAGAUUCAUAAUGGAUAGUUAAUUGGAAGAAAACAAAAAGAAAUAAACACUUCUUUUCCUUUCUCUCCUUUUGCUAGAAAAAUGCACAAGUUUCUUAUUUGAUCAACCAAUU
This 239-nucleotide long non-coding RNA is filed under the name Carica papaya (papaya). RNAcentral describes it as "long non-coding RNA (CPAP_LNC002161)". The record is from RNAcentral. Lineage: Eukaryota; Viridiplantae; Streptophyta; Magnoliopsida; Brassicales; Caricaceae.